GUCGUGCGCGUGCGCAGGCGCCAGUCCUUCCUUCUCUUCGACCUGUCCGAUCGGCAGCGCUUCCCGGACUACCCACAUGCCCGCCCGCCACCCCUGUUCGCCGGCUGCCGGUCGUUCGAGGAGGAGGGACUUGGCGCCAGCCAGGACCAACAGAACUGGUGCAGAGAUGGCAGCUGUGAGUCGCCGGUGUACGGUCAGGACCGGGCCGGAGCGCCCUGCGAGGAUGAGCCUCCCUGGACAAGGCUAGCAAGUGCAUGGGCGCUCGUUCGUGCCAUCAAGCGCCGUACUGUUUAUAGAAAGUCUAACAGGUCCAUCUACAUACAUUUUCGAAAAAGAAAGCACUUUUGUCCCCUACCAUCA
This is a long non-coding RNA of Triticum dicoccoides, 360 nucleotides long. RefSeq lists it as uncharacterized. The record is from RefSeq and is a predicted model, not a curated record. The transcript has 2 exons. NCBI's taxonomy places the organism in Eukaryota, Viridiplantae, Streptophyta, Magnoliopsida, Poales, Poaceae.